Long non-coding RNA from Mesocricetus auratus (golden hamster), 1253 nucleotides. RefSeq lists it as uncharacterized. NCBI's taxonomy places the organism in Eukaryota, Metazoa, Chordata, Mammalia, Rodentia, Cricetidae. The record is from RefSeq and is a predicted model, not a curated record. The transcript has 2 exons.
AGGACAGCCUGGUCUACAGAGUGAGCUCCAGGACAGCCUGGUCUACAGAGUGGCUCCAGGACAGCCUGGUCUACAGAGUGAGCUCCAGGACAGCCAGGGCUGCACAGAGAAGCAAACAAACGAGCAACAACCACAACAAGAAGCCCACAUUUGUAUUAGGGCUGGCUCCCAUCUCCUGCCCCAGUGGACGGAUUAACUCAGCUCAGAACUGAUCAAUGGGUGACGACAUAAGCAUCAGAGUGGAGUGAACCAGGGGCUCCCUCUCCUCCAGCCAAGAAACAAUCACUCUGGAACGAUUCCUGACUCAGAAGGAACAGAAACCUCCUCAAAGACAGGCCGUCUGAUGUCAACCUCAGUCGAGGUACUUCCUGUCCCUGGGUCCCACCCACUCUCUCCUCACAGCGCCUGCCUUUCGGGUCAAGCUUACAGGAGAGGCAGGUGGGAGAAGGGUGCAUGGGGGUACAUGGCUCCCACAGCAGCUCCCUCUCCCUGGGACUUCACAGGUACAGUCACACCCGGCCCUGUCCUCAGAAGAUGCCCCGCUUGGCAUACCCUCCUGCCUGCUAUCUUGAAAGUUCUCAUCGUUUUUUGUUUUUUUUUAAGAGGACUGCGUUUUCAUUCACACUGGGUCCCACAAAUUAUGUAGCAGGUUCUGCUCCCAGGGAGCGUAAUCCACACACCCUCCUUUGCUACGCAAAUGAGGAAAUCAAGGCCAGUGACCGGAAGCAUCUGGGCCAGGGCUGGCUGGCGUCAGGCAGCAGGCAGUCUACAGAGGGAAAUACCAUCUUCACUGCCCCAUUCCCGUCCUUCCAGUUCAAUCCAUCAUGAGGCCUGGAGCUCAGCCUGGGGAAUCCCCAGGGGCAUGUCAGACCUGGAAACCACGGCGUUAACCUUAAACUUUCCCUGUCAGAUUCCAGCCCCCCAAGUCCUCCCCACAACCCCUAGGCCAUAAAGGAGAGUAGCGCCUCCCUGUGAGACUUGACCACCAAAAGUAAGGGGAAGCAGGGGUGAGAAGGGAGACAUGCUGGAGGAUUGAUUUUUCUCACCCUACCCCUUGCUGCUCUGGAGCGACAGCCUUGCACAGAUGUCUCCCUGAGAGAGUACGGAAACCACCGCUGGCUUUCCCAAGCUCCUUCUCUUCCUAGCCUUGAGGGCAACCUUGGGAGAGCGGGGUCUUGGGGGUAUCCUUUUCCUGCUCGCCUUUCAACCCACUGCCCUGCCCCUUCUCUAAUGAUUAUAGUCAGUCAAAUCAA